RNAcentral lists this ribosomal RNA (253 nucleotides) under uncultured bacterium. RNAcentral's name for it is "partial 16S ribosomal RNA". It matches the Rfam family "Bacterial small subunit ribosomal RNA", at positions 524 to 776 of the family's 1533-position model. The record is from RNAcentral.
UACGUAGGGGGCAAGCGUUGUCCGGAUUUAUUGGGCGUAAAGAGCGUGUAGGCGGCUAGGUAGGUCGGUUGUGAAAACUGGAGGCUCAACCUUCAGAGGUCGACCGAAACCAUCUGGCUAGAGUCCGGGAGAGGAGAGUGGAAUUCCUGGUGUAGCGGUGAAAUGCGCAGAUAUCGGGAGGAACACCAGUGGCGAAGGCGACUACCUGGCCUGUUCUUGACGCUGAGGCGCGAAAGCUAGGGGAGCAAACGGG